This 565-nucleotide ribosomal RNA is filed under the name uncultured bacterium. RNAcentral describes it as "bacterial SSU rRNA". It matches the Rfam family "Bacterial small subunit ribosomal RNA", at positions 60 to 619 of the family's 1533-position model. The record is from RNAcentral.
AGUCGAGGGGCAGCGCGGGGUAGCAAUACUCUGGCGGCGACCGGCGGAAGGGUGCGUAACACGUGAGCGACUUGCCCGAUACAGGGAGAUAACCGGUGGAAACGCCGACUAAUAUCCCAUAGGACUUGAGGCUGCAUGGCCUUGAGUUGAAAGGUUCGCCGGUAUCGGAUAGGCUCGCGGGACAUUAGCUUGAUGGCGGGGCAACGGCCCACCAUGGCGACGAUGUCUAGGGGUUCUGAGAGGAAGACCCCCCACACUGGGACUGAGACACGGCCCAGACUCCUACGGGAGGCAGCAGUGAGGAAUAUUGGUCAAUGGGCGGAAGCCUGAACCAGCCAUGCCGCGUGAAGGACUAAGGCCCUAUGGGUCGUAAACUUCUUUAGACGCAGAGCAAUAAGGGCCUCGCGAGGUCCGAUGAGAGUAUGCGUAGAAUAAGCAUCGGCUAACUCCGUGCCAGCAGCCGCGGUAAUACGGGGGAUGCGAGCGUUAUCCGGAUUUAUUGGGUUUAAAGGGUGCGUAGGCGGCGAAUUAAGUCAGCGGUGAAAGACCGGGGCUCAACCCUGGA